GCUUCCACCCCUCCAUCAGUCAGUAGAUAUUUACUGGAACCCUAGCGGUGAGAGCGCUCCCUGCUUCUCCCGGCGCAGCGGAAGGCUUUCGCUUCCUUCGAGAGCAGGCUCCAGGAAGUGGGCGGGGUUUUACGCCGGCCGGAAAGACAGUUCCAGAGGUGUCUUGCUCUGCGCCCGGGAGCGCAGGGUUUAGAGGCAGGGAAAAGCGAUCUGAAUGAGUGCAGGCUCCGUGUCUGUCUGGGGCUCCCAUGAAUUCCAUGAAUUCCACGCUUUUCCAGCUAGUGAUGGGUUUGUGAAAUUGUUACUUUUCUUCUUACUCCCUUGUGGCUGCCGCGUCUCCCUUCCAGUGCUGUUUAAAAGCAUCAGUUGCAGUUAGUUGUGACCAUGUGAUCGUGUUCUGGCAAACAGGAAGAAGAAGAAAAGGGGGAAGGAAAUAAUGAAGAAACGGCCAUUGCUCUGCCAUUUUUCUAUCAGCUUUAGCUGAAAAAAACUGCUUUGAUGUGCUUCAUUACAAGAAUUUUCUGUGCACUCCAACUCCCGUCAGCGAUUAUAAUGACUUCAGCAUUCAUGUGAAAGAUGCACCAGGUGUGUGGACUCUCAGUUCCUGGACCUUCUGGUUCCCAAAGACGUUGGACACUUGAGGUUAGCUAUCGCCUUCCACUGUUUUUAUCUUAAACUCUUAGUUUACCAAUACCUGAAACUACCUGGCCUCUAAAUGUCACAAGCGAAGGCCCAAAUCUAGAAGACACUCGUGUCCAAUGGUUUCCCAGAAAGCUAUCAUGUUUGAGCUGUGAUAUGAAGAGGUGAUGCGGCAACGAAUUGAGGGCAGCCUCUAGCCAAUAGCCAGUGAGGAACUGAGGCUCGUGGCCCAGCAGUCUGCAAAAGAAGUAUAUCCAGCCAACAACCAUGGGAAUGAGCUUGGAAGUAGAUCCUUCCUCGGUUGAACCCUGAGAUGAAUGAGGUCCUGGACAACAUCUUUCAAGAUGCCCAGAGUCAGAGGUACCUAGCUAAGUGUCCCCAGAUGCCUGACCCACAGAAACUGUGAGACGAAGUUGUUUUUUAAGCCAUUAAGCUUUGUUAUUAAGCAAUGGAUAAAAGAUGCCAUGUCUACGGCCAAAAAAGAAAAUCAUCCAUUUCUUUGGAAACUGACAUGAACGCUGGGAACUAAUGUUGAGCAAUUAGGUGAUUGUUAAGUUGGAAGUAACAAUAGUCUCUAAGAAAAAGAGAGAAAAUAGCUAAAAGGUGGACCAUAUACCCCGUAAUACACCCAUGAAUGCAUCCACAUUUCUGCCUUCCCCAUAAAAGUGCUGUUAUUGCCAUUACUACUUAUGAUCACCCCCUAAGGACUUGCUGUUCUUGUCAAACAGUACGAUAUGUGUAGAAAGACUCUAAUGCAUUCUUUGAGGCUGCCUUCCAGAUUAUAUGAACAAUUUAAUAAUACCUAUUUCUUCCUGUUCUCAGCCUUCCCCUGCUCAGGCAAUUUUGGUUGGUAACAUUUUCAUCUCCUACCAGUAGAGUGUGGUGUGGUAGGAUUUCCCAAAUUCUCCCCACCACCCUUUUUUCCUGCUGUGGCCUCCAUAGACUGUGGUCAUAACACCACCAAACUGAUUAUGACAUAAAAGUCUAAUCUUACGCAGUUAUGGGCCAUUCAAAAGCAGGUCACUGUCAUUGACCUUUGUCCUUCCAUGCCUGGACUCCAUUGUUUCCACGUAGACAAUUCAGAUACUUGGUGUAUCGAUUCCAACCUUACCUUCAUAUUGGCUGGUAUUGUUUUUGAGGACUCAAAUGUCGCACAAUAGUAUAGCUAAACCACUUUAGACUCCAGUUAUUUGUGUCAUAGCAUAAGCGUGGUACCAGUUCAGUCAGUGGCAUCCAUAAAGCUUUGGUAGAAUGUAAAGAUGAACAACAUCUAUGAGUCACUUAUUCUCUUAGGGUCUCAGUUUACCGAUCUGUCAAAUAGGGGCAAUAAUCCUCUCUAUGGUUGUUGUGAGCACUGAGUGAGUUAAAUAUUCAAUCACUUAGAACAGUAUCUGGCCCAUAGGAAGUUCUCACUGUCAGCUGUAUAUACCAAAUGUAAACCUUCCCCAAACAGGGACGAUUAUAAACCAUCUCAAAAAGGUUCUCGUGCGCUAUAUUUCACCCUGUGGUGGCAAAAAAAAAACUGAGGAAGAAAUGGUGUAGGGUAUUUUACAGUAUUUUCAUUUUACAGAUGAAAAAACAGAGGUUUUAAAAAAUUAAAUAACCAGCAUCAAAUCUCAGCAGUGUCAGGGAUAAGACUGAAAUCUAGGUUUUCUUCUGAAAAAUUUGCUGAAGCUUUAUCUGCCUGUUCUAAAGAGGUAGAUAGGUACCCUUCUAUGCACUCAUCAUAUUGAAUGAGGAUUCAGUGGGUUGUGAUUUUUCUGCCUCUCUCCAGUAUAGAGCCAGGACAAGGUGGGGGUAUGAUGGGAAUUUAGUGAAGAGUUGAGGUGAAUACAUGUAAAAGAAUUGCCACAAUAUAUGGACACCCCUUUGGACAAUCAUUAUUAGUUGCUCAAGCUUGGGAUGGUGCACUCUUUUUUUUCCUUUUGUUGUUAUUUAAUUAAUUUAUUUAUUUUCAGUAUCAGUAACACAGUAAUUUGUGGCCAGUGUUCAAGAAUGUUGAGAUAAUGAUGCUUCGGGACAGCAUCAUUAGUGACAGCAUCAUUAGCACUUCUCAGUGCUUUUUGAGGGUGUGGUUUUGUUUUAUGUGCGUUUUAAGAGUAAAAAAGUGUCUAGUCUAGUCUCACCAUUUGAUAGCAUGAAAUAAAGCCAUAAAGUGAAGCAUGAUGUAUACCUCAUGCUCUAUGGUAUUUGAAUGGUGUUUCUUGCUUUAACAUAAGCCAAAUAUACAAAAAUACAGUAACGCAAAAGAAAGUGCUCCUGCUAAUGGAAGUGAGCAAACCAUGUAUUAAUCAGUGAGUUAAACCCCUCUUUUUUUUUCACCUCACUCCCAUUUAAUGCAUCAUUGCCAAGAGUUCUGGAUAUCGUCCUAAUAAAAUAUCAGAAGGAUAUAAUGCAAAAAUAUCCAAAAACCUGUUUUUAUGUCUGGAUUGAGUGUCUUUUUAUACUUUACUUUUUUAUUUUUAUAGGAAUUGACUGUCAGCAGAGAGCUAUCAGGUCCUAGUGUUUAUCUAUAGUCCUGGUGAAAGUGCCGCCUGUCUACUUCUGGCUUGUGAGAGUUUCUUUCCUUUGGGGUGGUGGCUGGUGCCAGAAUGAGAGGAAAUAUCAUGCCCUCCGAGAGUCAAGAGCAGCUGGUGCAAUUGCCCUGGUGUUUAUGGGAUAUUAUAGGCAUAAAGGCACAUUUGGAACUGGUUGGGGAAAGAACUUAAUGCUUCUUUCUUUUAUCUUUAUAAUCCACUUUCCUAGCAAGGAUUAUCCUACCGUUCAUACUAAAUUUAGCAAAUGCAGAUUAAAAAAAAAAAAAAAAAGCUAGGCUGCCACAA
Molecule: long non-coding RNA, 3461 nt
Organism: Panthera uncia (snow leopard)
Lineage: Eukaryota; Metazoa; Chordata; Mammalia; Carnivora; Felidae
Exons: 4
Source: RefSeq, a predicted model, not a curated record